GAGACAGCAGCAGCCGCGGGAAUACGUGGGUGGCAAGCGUUGUCCGGAAUUAUUGGGCGUAAAGGGCUCGCAGGCGGUUUCUUAAGUCUGAUGUGAAAGCCCCCGGCUCAACCGGGGAGGGUCAUUGGAAACUGGGAAACUUGAGUGCAGAAGAGGAGAGUGGAAUUCCACGUGUAGCGGUGAAAUGCGUAGAGAUGUGGAGGAACACCAGUGGCGAAGGCGACUCUCUGGUCUGUAACUGACGCUGAGGAGCGAAAGCGUGGGGAGCGAACAGGAUUAGAUACCCCGGUAGUCCCUGUCUCUUAUAA
RNAcentral lists this ribosomal RNA (308 nucleotides) under uncultured bacterium. Its description in RNAcentral is "partial 16S ribosomal RNA". It matches the Rfam family "Bacterial small subunit ribosomal RNA", at positions 505 to 809 of the family's 1533-position model. The record is from RNAcentral.